UUCCGGUUGAUCCCGCCGGACCCGACUGCUAUUUGGGUGAGGAUAAGCCAUGCGAGUUGAAUGGGAAACCUAAAAAUCCCAUGGCAAACUGCUCAGUAACACAUGAUCAACUUACCCUAUAGAGGAAAAUAACCUCGGGAAACUGAGGAUAAUGUUCCAUAGUUGAAUCGGCUUGGAAAAGUUUUUCAAUAAAAGGGAUAAGGAAAAUGGUCCUUAUCUGCUAUAGGAUAGGAUCGUGCUCGAUUAUGGUUGUUGGUGAGGUAAAGGCUCACCAAGCCGAUAAUCGAUAGGGGCCGUGAGAGCGGGAGCCCCGAGAUGGGUACUGAGACAACGACCCAGGCCUUACGAGGCGCAGCAGGCGCGAAACCUCCGCAAUACACGAAAGUGUGACGGGGUUACCCAAAGUGUUCAUUAGAACUGUGGUAGGUGAGUAAUGUUCCCUACUAGAAAGGAGAGGGCAAGGCUGGUGCCAGCCGCCGCGGUAAAACCAGCUCUUCAAGUGGUCGGGAUAAUUAUUGGGCUUAAAGUGUCCGUAGCCGGUUUAGUAAGUUCCUGGUAAAAUCGGGUAGCUUAACUAUCUAUAUGCUAGGAAUACUGCUAUACUAGAGGGCGGGAGAGGUCUGAGGUACUACAGGGGUAGGGGUGAAAUCUUAUAAUCCUUGUAGGACCACCAGUGGCGAAGGCGUCAGACUGGAACGCGCCUGACGGUGAGGGACGAAAGCCAGGGGAGCGAACCGGAUUAGAUACCCGGGUAGUCCUGGCCGUAAACGAUGCAUACUAGGUGAUGGCACGGCCAUGAGCCGUGUCAGUGCCGUAGGGAAACCGUUAAGUGUGCCGCCUGGGAAGUACGGUCGCAAGGCUAAAACUUAAAGGAAUUGGCGGGGGAGCACCACAAAGGGGUGAAGCCUGCGGUUCAAUUGGAUUCAACGCCGGAAAUCACUAGUGCGGGCCGCCUGCAGGUCGACCAUAUGGGGAGAGCCUCCCAACGCGUUGGAUGCAUAGCUUGAGUAUUCUUAUAGUUGUCACCUAAAUAGCUUG
RNAcentral lists this ribosomal RNA (1038 nucleotides) under uncultured archaeon. RNAcentral describes it as "bacterial SSU rRNA". It matches the Rfam family "Archaeal small subunit ribosomal RNA", at positions 1 to 974 of the family's 1478-position model. The record is from RNAcentral.